Non-coding RNA from Salmo salar (Atlantic salmon), 54 nucleotides. NCBI's taxonomy places the organism in Eukaryota, Metazoa, Chordata, Actinopteri, Salmoniformes, Salmonidae. The record is from Rfam.
GUUGACAGUGCAUGUAAGUCGCUCUGGAUAAGAGCGUCUGCUAAAUGACGUAAA